This is a long non-coding RNA of Cajanus cajan (pigeon pea), 309 nucleotides long. RefSeq lists it as uncharacterized. NCBI's taxonomy places the organism in Eukaryota, Viridiplantae, Streptophyta, Magnoliopsida, Fabales, Fabaceae. The record is from RefSeq and is a predicted model, not a curated record.
CUCCUAAAAACCAAAAAUAGAAUCCCUAAAAUUUUCCCAAUACGUAUGCUUGCUUCUCUGUGUCAUCUUUCUCAUCACGUUGAGCUAGCUGUUCUACGCUUGUUAUUACUAGGCGCCUCUCAGGAAAGACUUGAUGAUGAAGAUCAACCUUAUGAUGAUGAAGAGACUGAAUGAUGUUACUUACAUGGAUGGAUGACUAGCUAUGCAUAAUAUUCCUAGAUGACACUUUAUUUUGAAAUUUAGAAAUUUUAUGUAAACUUUGACAUCUUUGGAUGAUUUUAUUUGGAGUUUUAUGCUUUUGAAUUGUCA